AACCCAUGGUGAGGGCAUCUUCUCAAUAAAUCCUUAUACCUCUCCUAUGCACCAUAUAGAAUCUCUAAAUCCAUUUGCACGAAGGAAGAGAUAUCACUCAUCAGCUU
This 107-nucleotide small nucleolar RNA is filed under the name Gossypium arboreum. RNAcentral describes it as "Plant small nucleolar RNA R71". It matches the Rfam family "Plant small nucleolar RNA R71". Rfam says of the family: R71 is a member of the C/D box family of snoRNAs containing the C (UGAUGA) and D (CUGA) box motifs. Lineage: Eukaryota; Viridiplantae; Streptophyta; Magnoliopsida; Malvales; Malvaceae. The record is from Rfam by way of RNAcentral.